UCCUCAUAUUGUGGGUGUGGCCAACAAAUUUAAAAAAAAUGAAUUUUCAUUGCUAUAUAAGUCUUGGUUGAAAUGAAAAGAAAGUACUCUUUAGAGUGCCUUAAGAUAGAAAAUGAUAUUCUCCAUAAUGUUUUUGAAUUUCACACACUCUAGGUCUUUCCUUACCUCAAUGUCUCUGCCACUGUUAACAUUCACCCUUUUACUUCUCAUCUCUGGAUCAUCAUUGACUGCUACCUAAGUAAACUACUCCAUAAGAUGACCCUCUGAAGGUACAAAUUCACAUUUUCUUUACCACAACAUAUUAAAAACUAGCUAUGUAGACUCUACAAAGAUUUUUCUCGCUUGAAAUUGAGAUGAACUUGAAGUUAAGAGAGGCAGUAGCCUGCACAUAUUAGUUUCUGACCCAGGUUAUACAAUGAUUCCUAGGGUGGAAAGUUUUAAGGAAAGAAAGCAAAGCCGUCUUCAUAAAAGUCUUAUUUCUUAGCUAGCAUGGUCUUAACAUAUUUAAAAACCUGGAAAAAAAAUAAUGGAGAAUUUUCACUUAAGACAAUUCUAUUUCAGUUUAACUAAUUUUAUAUGUCACAGCUGUGCCUCUAUUAAAGAACUCAGACUUGCCUCCUUGGCCAGCUAUGUGCUCAGUGAUGUGGCUGCACUCAGAGAACUCCGGUUCUGCACUUGAAAGAGUUGCUUGUCGAAACAUUCAGCUCUGAUGCAACCCUGAACAAUACAAGUGCAUAAUAAAGUGUAAUAGAUAGUGCUGCCAGCACCAGGGAGAAUAUCUCUAAACUCUAAAGAGUAUUUAAAUCUUCUAAAUUGGCUUCUUUGCAGUCAUUUUUUAAGCACUCUUUUGGAUUUCUUCAAACAAACGAUCUCAAGUCUUCUACAGAGAUGCCAAGAAAACAAUAGCAACUAAUCACCAUAUAUUUAAGACAGCAGGUUCCCAGCACUAUUUUAAGCACUUUGUAGAUGUUAUUUAAGAGCUGUAAAAACACAGUGUAGUUAACAUUAUUACCUUCUUUUUAUUGAUGAGAAAACUCAUGGUCAUCUUUGCAAAAAGCACUUCACAAUACAGUCUAAUAGUGUAAAAAGGAUGAGCCACUAGUAUCUUUUUCACGAAUGUAACGUUGGUAGCACAGCACUAUAACAGGCUCUUAUUAGAAGAUGCUAUUUAUUUUCUAUAUAAAUAGCAAUACUGACUCACAGCUUUUCACAUCCAAGAAAAGAAGACCAUGGCCCAUAACAGACAAAUAAAGGACAGAUCUUUCACUAGUCUUUUUCAUUUCUGUCUCACGCUCAUUCAACUGUAUUUUUUAGCAAAUAUCCAUGAUUGCCUUUACAUAAGAUAUUUAAAUAAAACAAGUGUUGGUAGACAAAAUGGAAAAGAAUGACAUUUAUUCUUUCCCAACUUAUUUUUUCCUUUUUUUUUCUUUUUUUUUUUUAGGGCUGCACCCAUGGCAUAUGGAGGUUCCCAGGCUAGGGGUCUAAUCAGAGCUAUAGCCACUGGCCUUGCCAGAGCCACAGCAAUGCCAGAUCCGAGCCGCGUCUGCGACCUACACCACAGCUCAUGGAAACACCGGAUCCUUAACCCACUGAGCGAGGCCAGGGAUCGAACCCACAACCUAAUGGUUCCUAGUCGGAUUCGUUUCUGCUGCGCCACAACAGAAACUCCUUAUUUUUGAAUUAAAUAAGUAAAUGAACUUUUAUUGUGUAAUUCUGGUCUUAGUGCCCUCAGAUAGGUUUUAAAGCUCUCUGAUUUUUACUGAACAUAUUGUACAAUUUUACCACAGUAUACGUUUAAAGUUUGUCCAAAGAUACUUUUAAAGACUAUCAGAGCAAUCUUUAUUUGCACUGAUUUAUUACUCAAAUUGUUGAGCUUUAUUAGAGAGGCCUAGUCUUUUUAAACUAACACUUAAGGGAGUUCCCAUCGUGGCACAACAGAGACGAAUCUGACUAGGAACCAUGAGGUUGCGGGUUCGAUCCCUGGCCUCGCUCAGUGGGUUGAGGAUCCAGCAUUGCUGUGAGUUGUAGUGUGGGUCACAGACAUGGCUCGGAUCUGGCAUUGCUAUGGCUCUGGCGUAGGUCAGCAGCUGAAGCUCCGAUUAGACACCUAAUCUAGGAACCUCCACAUGCCGUGGGUGUUGCCCUGAAAAGACAAAAGACAAAAAAAAAAAAACAAAAAAAACCUACAACUUAAGAUAGGGGUUAUUGGACUUGUGUUAUCAAGAUUUGUCUUAAAUUUCAUUCACAUAUCUCCAUAUUGGACCUCCACUACAGCAGCAUAUGAAAGUUCCAAUGGCUAGGGGUCAAAUCAGAGCUGCAUCUGUGGGCCUACAUCACAGCCACAGCAAUGCUGGAUCCAAGCCACAGCUUCCACCUAUACCGCAGCUGGCAGCAAUGCUGGAUCCUUAACCCACUGAGUGAGGCUGGGAAUCAAACCCAUGUUCUCACAGAUACUAGUCAGAUUCUUCACCCAUUGUGCCACAGUGAGAACUUCCAAUACCUUCUCUUUUAAUUGUAAUUUUUAUUUUUCUUUUAAUUAUUUUCACUAAGGAAAUGAGUAAUCAUUCUUCCUGUUAAGAAAAGUAACAUUCAUUCAAGAAAAAUGACUGUACAUGUAUAGUUAUUUUAUAUAUAUAUGAGACAAAGCUUUCUUUGAGAGAGAUUAUGGUAACUUUUCUCCAUGUUAUAUUGCAGCAAUAUGAUAUUUAUCUACUAUCUACUUUAGAGAACCAAGUCGUACAACUCUUGUUUGAUUUUAUAUUUACUAUUGUAUACUUAAUAAAUAAGCAAAUAUGUCUAGCUCCCAAAAUUUAUUCAUAAGAUUAAGAAUAAAGUCAAGUGAGUGAUAAAUUCAGGUAGAUGCUUCUGACUAAAGUUUAAUACCCUGUAUCUCUGCCAACUCAAACAUUUCCUCCCACCAAAAGAUUCCUGCUAUAUGCAAGUCACACAUCAAAAUGAAUCAUAGUCAUGCCACUACUUAUUUAUACCUGCCAAUUUAUGAUUACGGUAUUUAACAUAAUUAUGAAUAAUCAUGAUUCAGAAUAUGAGAAGUCACACAAGGAAAACAGGCCAAGUCUGAUAUGUAUCAUAUGUACCAAGAAAACCUGUCUUGUUUGCCUUCUGGUUAUGAAAAUGUUUACUCCAUAAAUGACUUUAAUACAGCCAACAGCUAACCCUGUUAUAACUUUAACUAUAGUUUGGGAUAAUAGCCUCCUGUGUAAAAAUUACCCACAUUGUUUAGUUAUUAACUUACUUCUUCAGGAAUAACACUGAAGAUUUUAUUCAGCCAAAACCAGACGAGUAGCUUAUACCAUAUAUAUUUAUAAUAUAUUACAUAUGGAAUAUAUAUGGCAUAUAAGUAUACAUGCAACUUUUAGAUCCUUUAUCUUGUUUUAAGCUCAAUUAUUUAUUCUAUCUUGUAACAAAAAGAACAACAAACACAUGAGAAGGUGACUUACAGUUUAGAUAACUCUUAGGACUUGUGAUUAUGUAACGGUGCUGUUAUAUAUAAAGAUGAAAUAAUCAACAAACCAAUGAAGCAGAAACAGCCAGUGUCACUAGAAAACUGCUUUUCAGAUUAGGUGGCUACAAGCUCCUGUGUAUCUCAGGUUUCUUUUUAAUGUUAAUGAUUGAACAUUUAUACAAAAAUAGUUAUAAAAUAAGCCUAAUAACAACAGGGUCAAUCACUCUUUCAUAAAUUGAGUACCCUCUGAUGUCUUCUGCCCCUUCUCUGUGGCCCCAGACCCGGCCCUUGAUAGGGUAGAAGAAUUCAUAGUCUGGGAUACAAAAGAGAUAAAUCAAUUCCGUAUUGCUAUGGAUAUCACCCCUUCCCAUAUCUUCCUCUCUUUGGUCUCCCUCCAUCAGCUUCAUUCCAAUUUCCUUUAGUGAGCACCUGGAAUUUAAGGAAGUGGGUAAGAAAAAAUGACAGAGGGCUCUGUAUAUCUUCAUCUCCUUUCUUCAAGGGUGCAAAGACCAGAAAAAGGAAUAUAUUAGAAAUAAUCAGGUAAGUGUAAGAUAACCUGAGGACAUAAAAGCCUAUGGCCUGCAUCCUGAGGCCUUUGGUGCAACGGUGAAAAGGAUGGGUGAAGAGAAUUGGCGAGGUAAGUAAGACCAACACAGCACUCCUUCCGUCAUGCCAGUUUCCUUGGCCAGGAGGUCUUAGAAAUUGUUGAAAGACCCAGAGGGCUAAUAUAGGCUGGCCUGGGGUAUGGACAGAGUGCUAGUAAGUGAGAAUGCCUCAAAGGCAACAAGCAUCCUGUUACGUCAUCGUGGUAAUAGGUAUAGGAAUCAUCCUGACCCAGUAGGAUCCAGGAGACUGCAUAUGGGUGGAUCUCUGGCACCAUUAUCUCUUUAUGCCACGAGAUCACAUAAGGCCCUACAUGCCAAGAAGCCACAUGGUAGAGGUAGAAAUCUAAAAAAUUGAACAUUUACUUGAAAGAGACUGAAUCACUUAAAAAUGAUACAUGGAGCAGCAUGAUGACUUCACCACUUCUUACCAUGCCACUCAGAGGUGGGAGCUAAUGAGGAUGAGAAUGAUUCAGUCAUCCAUCCACUGAGCACACAGAGGCAUCAAACAGAAUGCACUUAUUCUUCACAGGGCAGCUGAAGGGAUGAUCAAUUACCACUUGCUUCAGUCUGGAGAGAAAAAAAAAGGAGUAAGGAAAUUGGUACCCAAACUUCUGAUUCCGUGUAGUUGUUUCCAUCCUCACCCUCGUUUUAAAAACUAUCCUCUUUCAACUUGAUGUGUUUUGGCUGGCUGUAAACUGGGAGGAAGGAUUUGGCUGACAAGACGAGGGUGGCUCUCUCUGAUAUCUUCAGUUGUUAAACUUUUUUUAGUUAAGAAACACUCCAAUGGUGGCCAGCUUCUUAUCAAAAAACCAAACCACAAAAGCAAAAUGCCAUUUUUCAACAACUUUAUGAAUCAUUCUUUUUUCUUCUAAACUCUGACUAAAGCUAGUUUUUGUUCUCUUAUAUUGUUUUUUCC
Molecule: long non-coding RNA, 4984 nt
Filed under: Sus scrofa (pig)
Lineage: Eukaryota; Metazoa; Chordata; Mammalia; Artiodactyla; Suidae
Description: lncRNA (ENSSSCG00035036316.1)
Source: RNAcentral